Molecule: long non-coding RNA, 253 nt
Filed under: Lathyrus oleraceus (garden pea)
Lineage: Eukaryota; Viridiplantae; Streptophyta; Magnoliopsida; Fabales; Fabaceae
Description: Pisum sativum (pea) long non-coding RNA (PSAT_LNC009883)
Source: RNAcentral
UCCCCCAGAGAGGUUUAUUUCCUCACCCGCAGGUGAAAGGAAAGCUUGAUUCUCCCCAGUGAGUUCCCCAACAAGUGUUUAGCCUUGCCCUGACAUAUUGAAGAUGUCAUUCUUGUGAUACCGGUAAGUAUCCUGUCUACACCCGUGUGUCUUCUUUCCUUGGUGUCGGUAAACACCAUUGUUUCGGUGUCGGUAAACAUCGAGUCUCACUCCAGUCAUCAGUAAAUGUCUGGUUAUUCCUUUUUGAUGUCGG